UACGUAGGCAGCGAGCGUUGUUCGGAGUUACUGGGCGUAAAGGGUGUGUAGGCGGUCCCGUAAGUCUGGUGUGAAAUCUCCCGGCUCAACUGGGAGGGUGCGCCGGAAACUGCGGGGCUAGAGUGCGGGAUGGGAGAGUAGAAUUCCUGGUGUAGCGGUGAAAUGCGUAGAUAUCAGGAGGAAUACCUGUGGUGUAGACGGCUCUCUGGACCGCGACUGACGCUGAGACACGAAAGCGUGGGUAGCAAACAGG
Molecule: ribosomal RNA, 253 nt
Filed under: uncultured bacterium
Lineage: Bacteria
Description: partial 16S ribosomal RNA
Rfam family: Bacterial small subunit ribosomal RNA
Source: RNAcentral